Molecule: ribosomal RNA, 253 nt
Filed under: uncultured bacterium
Lineage: Bacteria
Description: partial 16S ribosomal RNA
Rfam family: Bacterial small subunit ribosomal RNA
Source: RNAcentral
UACGAAGGGGGCUAGCGUUGCUCGGAAUCACUGGGCGUAAAGGGUGCGUAGGCGGGUCUUUAAGUCAGGGGUGAAAUCCUGGAGCUCAACUCCAGAACUGCCUUUGAUACUGAAGAUCUUGAGUUCGGGAGAGGUGAGUGGAACUGCGAGUGUAGAGGUGAAAUUCGUAGAUAUUCGCAAGAACACCAGUGGCGAAGGCGGCGACCUGGACCUGUGCUGACGCUGAGGCGCGAAAGCGUGGGGAGCGAUCCGG